CGCCUGUUUAUUAAAAACAUUGCUUUUAAUUAUUAUUUAAAAGUAAAGCCUGCCCAUUGAAUAAUUUUAAAAGGCUGCAGUAUUUUGACUGUGCUAAGGUAGCAUAAUCAUUAGAUUUUUAAUUGAAAUCUUGUUUGAAUGGUUAAAUGAAAUAAAUUCUUUUUUAAUUUAAAUAUUGAAUUUUAUUUUUUAGUUAAAAAGCUAAAAUAUAAUAAAGGGACGAGAAGACCCUAUAGAAUUUUAUAUUAUAUUAAUUUAAAAUUUUAUUUAAUAUUAAGUAUAAUAUUUUAUUGGGGUGAUAAUUAAAUUUAAUUAACUUUAGAAUAUAAAAUUCAUAAAUUAAUGUUUUUAUGAUCUUUUUUUAUUGAUUAAAAAAUUAAAUUACCUUAGGGAUAACAGCAUUAUAUUGUUAAGAAGUUCUUAUUUUUAAUAAUGUUUAUGACCUCGAUGUUGGAUUAAAUAAAAUUAUUAUAUGAAGAUGUAUAAAAAAUAAGUC
This 496-nucleotide ribosomal RNA is filed under the name Rabdophaga heterobia. Its description in RNAcentral is "partial large subunit ribosomal RNA". The stretch from base 1 to 150 matches the Rfam family "Archaeal large subunit ribosomal RNA", at positions 1889 to 2084 of the family's 2987-position model. Lineage: Eukaryota; Metazoa; Arthropoda; Insecta; Diptera; Cecidomyiidae. The record is from RNAcentral.